GCGGUGAAAUGCGUAGAUAUCGGGAGGAACACCUGAGGCGAAGGCGGGCUACUGGGCCGAUACUGACGCUGAUGCGCGAAAGCCAGGGGAGCGAACGGGAUUAGAUACCCCGGUAGUCCUGGCCCUAAACGAUGGACACUUGGUGUGUCGGGUUAUUCAGUCCCGGCGUGCCGGAGCUAACGCGUUAAGUGUCCCGCCUGGGGAGUACGGUCGCAAGGCUGAAACUCAAAUGAAUUGACGG
RNAcentral lists this ribosomal RNA (241 nucleotides) under uncultured bacterium. Its description in RNAcentral is "partial 16S ribosomal RNA". It matches the Rfam family "Bacterial small subunit ribosomal RNA", at positions 678 to 916 of the family's 1533-position model. The record is from RNAcentral.